RNAcentral lists this ribosomal RNA (426 nucleotides) under Burkholderia sp. OR2. RNAcentral's name for it is "bacterial SSU rRNA". It matches the Rfam family "Bacterial small subunit ribosomal RNA", at positions 30 to 454 of the family's 1533-position model. RNAcentral also lists the same sequence under 2 other names. The record is from RNAcentral. Lineage: Bacteria; Pseudomonadati; Pseudomonadota; Betaproteobacteria; Burkholderiales; Burkholderiaceae.
AUUGAACGCUGGCGGCAUGCCUUACACAUGCAAGUCGAACGGCAGCACGGGUGCUUGCACCUGGUGGCGAGUGGCGAACGGGUGAGUAAUACAUCGGAACAUGUCCUGUAGUGGGGGAUAGCCCGGCGAAAGCCGGAUUAAUACCGCAUACGAUCUACGGAUGAAAGCGGGGGACCUUCGGGCCUCGCGCUAUAGGGUUGGCCGAUGGCUGAUUAGCUAGUUGGUGGGGUAAAGGCCUACCAAGGCGACGAUCAGUAGCUGGUCUGAGAGGACGACCAGCCACACUGGGACUGAGACACGGCCCAGACUCCUACGGGAGGCAGCAGUGGGGAAUUUUGGACAAUGGGCGAAAGCCUGAUCCAGCAAUGCCGCGUGUGUGAAGAAGGCCUUCGGGUUGUAAAGCACUUUUGUCCGGAAAGAAAUCCU